UGAGGAAUAUUGCACAAUGGGGGCAACCCUGAUGCAGCGACGCCGCGUGGGUGAUGACGGCCUUCGGGUUGUAAAGCCCUUUUGCCACUGAUGAGGAAUGACAGUAGGUGGCGAAUAAGCCUCGGCUAACUACGUGCC
This 138-nucleotide ribosomal RNA is filed under the name uncultured bacterium. Its description in RNAcentral is "partial 16S ribosomal RNA". It matches the Rfam family "Bacterial small subunit ribosomal RNA", at positions 355 to 509 of the family's 1533-position model. The record is from RNAcentral.